CCUACGGGAGGCAGCAGUGGGGAAUAUUGCACAAUGGGCGAAAGCCUGAUGCAGCAACGCCGCGUGAGCGAUGAAGGCCUUCGGGUCGUAAAGCUCUGUUCUCAAGGAAGAUAAUGACGGUACUUGCGGAGGAAGCCCCUGCUAACUACGUGCCAGCAGCCGCGGUAAUACGCAGGGGGCUCGCGUUAUCCGGAAUUACUGGGCGUAAAGGGUGCGUAGGUGGUUUCUUAAGUCAGAGGUGAAAGGCUACGGCUCAACCGUAGUAAGCCGUUGAAACUGGGGAACUAGAGUGCAGGAGAGGUGAGUGGAAUUCGUGGUGUAGCGGUGAAAUGCGUAGAUAUUAGGAAGAACACCAGUUGCGAAGGCGGCUCUCUG
RNAcentral lists this ribosomal RNA (375 nucleotides) under uncultured bacterium. RNAcentral describes it as "partial 16S ribosomal RNA". It matches the Rfam family "Bacterial small subunit ribosomal RNA", at positions 338 to 731 of the family's 1533-position model. The record is from RNAcentral.